CUGCUGCCUCCCGUAGGAGUCUGGGCCGUGUCUCAGUCCCAAUGUGGCCGUUCAACCUCUCAGUCCGGCUACUGAUCGUCGCUUUGGUGGGCCGUUACCCCGCCAACUGGCUAAUCAGACGCGAGCUCAUCUUUGGACGAUAAAUCUUUGGCAGCAAAAUCAUGCGACCCCGCUGCAUCAUGCGGUAUUAGCAGUCGUUCCGGCUGUUAUCCCCCACCCAAAGGCAGAUUGCUCACGCGUUA
This 242-nucleotide ribosomal RNA is filed under the name uncultured bacterium. RNAcentral describes it as "partial 16S ribosomal RNA". The record is from RNAcentral.